UGCGGUGGCGUGGUUUUUCUGUUUAUACAAGUUAAUUUUUAAUCAAUUCUUGUAUAUUUUACACAAAAAAAUUAAUUAAAAAAGCUAAAAAGUUAAAUCAAGUGAGCUUGAUGGCUUCGGUUAAAGAUAUUAAAUGUUUGCAGAAUUUUUUAGAACUUUCUAUGGCUGAACUUCAAUUUUUCCUUUCCCGGCGUGGGCUUCCAACAUCUGGAUCACAUGGAACGUUGGCUGUAAGAGCUCUGAUUGCUCAUGAGCAAAAAGUAGAAGUAAAAGCCACUGCUGAACAUACAAUUUGCUUCUGCGUAACAUGCGAAAAGACAUUUGAUUCAGACGAAGAGCUGACUUGGAGUGUUUGGAAGGAAAUGGAAAAGGAUGCAGCCUGAAAGGAAAGCUGAAAUAUUGAGGUAUCAGAAAAUAUCUAUAAAAAUAAUUUGAUGGCUCAAAAGGUUUGACUCACUGAUGGUAUGACAAUACUGGGAUCUAUUAAAGAUUAAAAUUGAAGAGGCGUCCAGGGCCUCAAUCUUGACAGUCCCACCAGUGAAUCAGAACUAGAGAUCAAGACUAUCACUGUAUAACAUAUGCACAUUUUACCAGGAAUUCCAUGAAAAAAACAACACACAUGAAUCUAUAUUGGAGAAUUUGCGCAUCCAAUUUUUUAAUUUUUAGUAUUCACUUAUUGAAUGGUUUAAAAGUGUUAAAUAUAUUAACACAUUGUUUUGUCGGUAGAAGUAACCUAUAGCAAAUAUAUACUGCAGGAAUACAUGACAAAGGGAGGGCUAUGUCGUACGAUGUUGUAUUCACUGCAAUCAUCUACUAUUUCGUUUGCCGUGUCAAUCCGCCCCUCAACAUGGCCGCAGAUUAUCUUUUCACAGCAGGUUAUAUUUUCUCGUAACGAUUGUGUUCCUUACUAAAAGACAUUCUUUUUUAAACUCUAAUUCCAUUUCAAUCUUUUGCUCCAUACAAUUCUUUUUUUCGUGGGCAAGAUGCAUGUGCAUUGAUGUUUUAAAACAGAUGAUCAUUCCAAUUUAUUUUAAAAAAAUUUAUAAUUUGUUAGGAUUUGUGCAUUUAAUGUUUACAAAAUCAAGAUUUUUAAUUUUAAAAAUGUUACCACAAGAUUUUUAGUUCCGUAAAUUCUCAGUGAUCUGCUGUUAAAGACCAAAAAAUAACUUUUUGAGGAAAAUGAUGAUAAUAGGUAUAAUUUACAUAUAAAAAUUGAUUCUUUCCAGUAUACAAUUUCUGGCAACAAUAACUUACGCUGUUGAUUGUCAUAAUACUUAUUACAGCCAUUCAUUGGAAAGCCAUGCUAUUAAUGGUACACAUUAACUGUGGAAAUUUCCUAUUAAAAAGUUUAAAUUGGUGUUGUUGUUUUUUUCAAUUAUCUGCUGAAUAAUAAUUUUAUAAAAAGAUUAAAAAAUAAUUUUUUGAGGAAAACGUUAGUUUUUAAAAUCUGAUGUGGUGGAAAAGUAGGCCAGGGUUGAUUUUUUAUAUAAAGAGAAUAUUUUUUUAAAUAUAACAUGAAAUGCAGCUAAUUCCAUACUGAAUACAUGUUCUGAAAGAGCUGGCACAUUUAUAUUUAUUUUUGAAAAAAAGAGACAGUGUACGUCAUCUAUUCAAAGAUAUCUGAGUUAAGCAUAUAAUUAUAUUUCUGUAGCCUGAACUAAUUUUGUUAAUUAUUUUGAGUAAGCUUAUUUUUUAAAGAAAGACAAAUAGUGCUGUGUGUUCACUUUAGUAGUAGGAAUACUUUUUGCCACUUGAAAUACAAUUGAUCCGAAGAUAUUUUUUGUCUUGUAUGAAAGAAAUUUGGACAAUACUUUAAGGCAAGAACUUCUAUUGUUCUUUGCUCACGUGAUCAUUAUUGGGAAAUCUUUUCUUCUUUAAUGUUAGAUGUGGCCAUGCUGGCUUUAUGCAUAUUGUUUGAUUUUAAUUCGGGUUGCACUGAAAAAUUAUUAUAUAAAAAACUCAAUUUUAAUACCUCAAAGAAAACUUAGUUAAAGGAGCACUCCAGUGAAAAAAAAAUAUUUAAAAAAUAGAAUCGGAUAAUUCUCUUCAUGAAAAAGACUUUACAAAGCUACAGCCACACGACUUCGAACCUCUUCUGUCUCACAAGGGAGAAAUUAAUAAUGAUGCAAAGUGAUGAGGUGUCUUUUACUGGCUCAAGCAACGUUCUUAGCAAAAUAUUUUUUUUUUUUAAGAAAUAAAUAUACUUAAUCGCUUUUUUUAACAUUCUUUUCGUCAAAAAACUUUAUCAUUUGCUUCAUUAAAAAAUCUUUCAUACUUUACAAGCCAAUUUAUUUUUUUUACAGUUCAGCAAUAUUUUUCCUCUGCACGCGCUUUUUUUGCGCACAAAUGUAAACAAAUUUUAUGUAACGUUGAAAUUUUCUCCGUGAUGGAGGACCAUUGAAAUGCGUGAUAUAAAAUCAAAUAAUGUUCAGGUCUAGAUAAGUUGGUAAAACGGGGUAUUAUUAUUGUAUAAAAAAAAAUCAAUCUUAUGAUUAUGGUAGGUCAUAAAUGUGUUGCAGAAGCUACUGACUUACAAGUGGUUGUUUUGACAAAGCUGUUUUAGAAACUGCAUUAUCAGCAUUACAUGCAGCCGUUAUAAAGUUACAAAGAUUGAAGAAAAUGGGUACAUUUACCCCCUGAAAAUACUUGGCAUGUCCUUCCAUCAAAAAAGCUUCUUUUUUGAAAAACAAAGAAUAGAAACUUGAGUGCUACAAAAGAUACAUGUGUAACUAGAAAGCUUUUUGUCAGUGUUUGUAUUGGAAAUUCGUAUAAUGUUCUCUUAUUUAAUAUAAAAAUGUACAAAACGCUAUUUGGUUGAGUUCUGUGGAUAUAAGUACAAAUAUUGAGAUGAGAAGAAAUGAGAAACUUUAAUCGCGUUCACUAGCUAAAAUGGCAUUUUUACAAAGUGGCAGAGUAUCUUAAUAUGGAAGUUUAUUUCCUGCAGAUAUCUUUUAAAAGAACUAUCUGUGAAGUGCACCAACCAAAUAUAAAAACUUUGAUAGCUUGGUAGAUCACCUGCACGACGUAUUUUGUUUAGCCGUUUUUGAGUUCUUUCUUUUUCACAGACGGGAUUCUGUGAAAACUUACUUCUUUACACUUCUCUGAUCGAUCGGUACAUAGAAACACAGAGCAACUAACCAUUUUUUAAAGAUUUAAACGUAAAUUACAUACAAAAAGCGAUUUAAUGUAAGCUGUAUUUAUAGGUCUUAACAUGCGCUUGCUUAAACUUUCUGCACGAUGUGAUGUCAUUAUUUAUAAUCGGGUCCAGUCCGAAAUGAAAUCGCGCCUGUCUGUUUUUUAUGAGAAAAAAAUUGAAUAUGCGAAGGCUUGUACAACAAUUUUAAAUAAGAAAAACAAGUAAAGUAAGUUUUUUUUGAUUUCUUAUGCUUUUCUGAGUACGUAUAAAACAAACAAAAAAAAGAAAAGUGAUUUUUACUGGAGUUCCCCUUUAACUAGGCUAGACAUGUCUGAAAUCUGUACAAUCCUUGUUAAACUGAGACAGUGUAGAGAUACUGCUAACUUGGUACCAUAAUUAUUCAAAUAAGUAGUCAAAUUUUUAUUCAGUAUAUUGACUUUCAGGAGGGACAUGUUAUAUGUACAGGUAAUAUGGCCAGUUGAAAUACCCCUAAGUUGAAUUAUAUCCCUCUCUUCAGUCAGCUAAUUUCCUACCUCAAGGCUUUAUUGCGACUUAUGCUGAAAAAUUGAAUAAGCAAUUUCUGAAACUUUUACACCCUGUUUUAAUUUAUAACAAUCGUGGAGUGGUGGAGUUAGUUUUACAGUGUAAUGAUUUUAAAAACUAGAUAAAUUUUUGUUGUUUUAAUUUAAUGAUGAUGCGCGAUGUUUUUUGUUCACAACUCUUCUCGGGAUUUUUCUGUUCUAAUUUAUACUUUGCUUUUUAUGUUAAUCAAUUUGGUGGUAAUUUUUGCUUCUUUACUGUUUUUUUUGUUUUUUUUUUGUAUUUCUAAUGCAGGUAAAACCAAAAAAAACUUUGAUGAAAAUGAUUCUUGGAAGAGUGGGAUAAGGAAGUUUUCUGGUAACAAAAUUAGUUUUGUGUAAAUACUGAUACUAUGUGUGACCUUUUGUAUUUCUGUGUUAUGUUAUUUAAAAAAUAUUUCCAUUGUUGUAAAACCAUGAAAGUUAUUGGUUCGAAUCCAAUCCAUCUUUAAAAGGUGGUAGUUCAAAUGGAAGAACAACAUGGUGUGUAAUUAGUUUCCUACUGCAACAAACAAUAAUGCAAAUCAAUUCAAAAAAUUUUACAAACAAAUGUUUCAAAAAAAGAGGUAACUAUAAGAAAAGAAAUGAAAGAAGGAAAUUUUUUAAUUUACUCGGGAUAUACGUGCAGUUAUUCAGGUUUUGCUGAGCUAUAACUACAAUCAUGUUCAUAAAUUAUUGAAAAAACGGCUUUUGAGGCUUUUUUCAGAGUUUCCCCCCUCUCCCCCUACAGUCAGUGUUGAUUUUGUGUUGAUUUGUGCCCCAAAAUACUGCCGGCGACUCUGGAAAAGACCUCCAACCAACACUGAAGAGUGGGGGGAGGGGGAAAGUGGUUUUUCCAAAACUAUUAUGAACAUGAUUGUCUCUAUAAUGUGAGACUUAGUUUUUUUAAGUGGCUUUUUUUUUUACAAAAGCUUUUGUGUGCGUUUGUGUUGGCUGAAUUAAGGACAAGUACUACUUUGUCAUUCCAUAUACCGUGCAUGCAGAGCUGGUUGGUUUUCUUGUUUCAUAAACUAGGUUCCAGGCCUCCUAAUGUCUGUUUGUUUCUUAUUGUUUGUCGUAUGUGGCAAGAGCUUUUAUAUGCUUAUAUAUUGUAUAUACAUGACUAAAAUUGUUCUUUGUAUAACAUAGACACUUUGUAGUAUAAAAGAAAUGGAAAACACACACGUUCCACACACGUUCCGCACACGUUCCACUCAAGUUCCAUAGCCAAGUGUACAAGAGGAGACUGCAGUAGCACACGUUCCACACGUUCCGUCAAUUUUUUAUAAAAAUUAAAAUUUACUUCAAUUUCAUUGAAUUUGACGGUACGUGUGGAACGUGUUCAAUUUAGGUGCAACCGAUGGUGGAGCACCUUGGAACGGGUGUGGAACGUGUACGGAACGUGUGAAACGUGUCAUCAAAGCAAAAUUUUGGCUCUAAACAAGGGCAACCCGUUUUCAAUUUUUUUAUGUCAUUUACAGACAAUCAUGUUCAUAAAUUAUUGGAAAAACGGCUUUUGAGGCUUUUUUCAGAGUUUCCCCCCUCCCCCAACAGUCAGUGUUGAUUUUGUGUUGAUUUGUGCCCCAAAAUACUGCCGGCGACUCUGGAAAAGACCUCCAACCAACACUGAAGAGUGGGGGGAGGGGGAAAGUGGUUUUUCCAAAACUAUUAUGAACAUGAUUGUAGUUGCCAUGUGAAAAUCAAAUCCAAUAAGUAAAAUUUAGUUAAAAAAAUAAUUUUUUGAGGAAACUAAUUUAUCACACCGCAGUUUGUAACAUGUAAUUGGUAAUAAUGUAAUAAUGUAAUUGGUUCAAGAAGCUUGAAAGGUGGAUAUAUUUUGGAUAAGGUAGAAGAUUGGAUUAAUGAAUUAAAGAUGCUGAGUAAAAUUGCUAAAACAGAGUCGCAAGGGACAUAAAGUUGUUUUAUCAGUGGCUGGCUACAAGCAUAAAUUAACAUACUGUAUGCAAACAUACCACACAUAAUAUAAUUAUUGGAAGAAGUACUCGUAGUUAUUAAUUCGAAUUAAUACCAGCACUGACGGGAGGUAUUAAAGUAAACAAUAACGAGAGACAACUGCUGUCACUCCCGGUUAAACUUGGUCGUCUUACGAAUAUUCUAAAACUUAUCACAAAUAACUGAAUAUCUUGGUAAACAAAUAAAAAAACAGACUCGACAAUAUGAAGAAGAUCCAGAACUGAAACAACAGAAAAAACAAUCAAACAAAAUAAAAAUUGCUAAGAUUAGUGUCAUUCUUGAUCAUGUCAGAAGUGAAAUGUGUAAGCAGGAAAUCAGACUGAACGAUAUCAACCAGGAAGCAGUGUAUCUAGUUGACUGACUACCUUCAAGGAACGAGAGAUACACAAUUAACAAGCUAUGCUUCUGGGCUCAGAUUCGAAUUUCAAGUUCACAAUUGAUCAUGCUUUGUCAUGCAAAUAAUGUGGCUUCCUUUCGCUUAGACAAUGAAAUCCGUAAUGUCACGGGGAUGUAACUAAAAGAGGUUUGUCAUGAUGUUACAUUGAACCGUGUCUACAACAGUUACCUGGUGAGCCAUUGAGCCAGUGGACAGCGAAUGUUUCUCAGGAAUCGAGAGUUAUGUAUGCACAAGAGGCUUUUGGAACACUGGUCAAAUGGCAUUUUUAGAUGCGAAGGUGUGCUACCAAAAGCAUAUGAUGUAAAUAAAAUGGAAAAAAAGAAAAAUUACAAUAAACUUAUUUUGCAAGUAGAGCAUGAAACUUUACCGCCACUAGCGAUAUCCGUGUGUGGCGGAAUGGGUCGCGUGUGUCGAAAGUUCUAUACUCGGCUUUCUGAAAUGAUUUCUGAAAAGCGUAAACAACAUUUUUUAAAACUUUCAGCAUGGAUAUGACGUAACAUUUGUUUUGCGCUUAUCAAGUCUAUAUGCAUAUGUGUUCGAUGAAGUCGAUCAGUCUUUUCAUCUAACCUUGUCACAUCUCUGUCAGUGGAUCCUAAAGUAGUUCUGCUACCUUUAUAUAUCAUACUUAUGUCGACAUCAACUGAAUAGCAUUUUUCUUUUAAUAAAGCGGCGAUAUUUCGGUAUAGAAAAAUUAUAACAAAUUAUUUUAUUGAAAUGUAUGUACAGUUGACUCUCUCUAAUCCGAAUCUCAAGGGGGAUAAUUCUCUUUCAGAUUACAGAGAGUCGGAUAGUAGAAAGUAGAUUAUGAGAGUUUCUUAAGGAAAAUUGACGCUGAUUUUUAAUUUGUUCGGAUUAUAGUUAAAAAUUCGGAUAAUAGAGAUUCGGAUCGGAGAGAGUCAACUGUAUAUACGUUUUAAUUAAAUAUAAUGUUCAAAAAAGGACCAUAAUUUUUUUGUAACAUACUGUGUGCUUCUAUGCUACCUUCGUGUAGUAUGGAUGGAGCAUGAUGACGGGUCUAUUCAGAGCAAUACGCUAACUAUCUUGUGAACUGCCUUAGUCUAUUAGAAUUACUAAAACCUUUUAGAAAUAACUCAACAAAUUUUACUGUUUUGCAAAAAAAAAAAUGCUAGAGUACUAUUUCUUUUUAGGAGUCAAAAUAUACCCAAUAUUAGCUAAAUCAAAUUCUAUUCAUACUAUUAUUACCUAAUAGCUAUUUUCAACCGGUUAUUAUGAGAAAGUCGUAGCGUUCAAUGGCUAGAGAGCCUUAAGAACGGGCCUAGGACAGCACAAUAUAACUUAACUUCGUAGCAACCAUAACAGUCAUAACUCAAUUUUAUUUAGCUAGUUAGACUAUAUUAAUAACUAUGUCCCUCCAAUAGUUUUUCUAACAGCUACGAACAAAAAAAGUCCAUAUACAUUUUUAUCAUUUUUGUCAUAAGGUUUUAGUUUUAAAAAUAUUGAAAGUUCAAAAUCACAUUAAACUGCUUCCUAUGAACAGCAAAAAAAACAUAUGAUACACACAAGUAUUUUUCUGAAAUAUCGUUUUUAUUUGUGUAUGGAUAGUUAUUCAACUCUACUGCUUGUUUCAAUAUCUCUCUUUUGAUAGAUGUAUGGAUAGGUGUCCCACAUUCCUUCAUUUUUGCUGCGUCGAAUAAAGUAUUCCGUGAAUUGAGCUGUUAGAACAUCUAAGGUUGGCGUGCUAAAUAUUUUAAUUCGCGCGAAGGGUAAGAUCAAAAAAUGCGUUUUUCAAAUGAUGCAUGUAUAUUGAUAAAAUCUCUAUUUUUAUAAGGUAUGGAUGGAUCUCUCAUUUGAUUGGUUGUUUACUGAGUAGAACUAAUUUUGUAUACACA
Hydractinia symbiolongicarpus is the source of this 7914-nucleotide long non-coding RNA. RefSeq lists it as uncharacterized. Lineage: Eukaryota; Metazoa; Cnidaria; Hydrozoa; Anthoathecata; Hydractiniidae. The transcript is spliced from 2 exons. The record is from RefSeq and is a predicted model, not a curated record.